UACGAGGGGGGCAAAUGUUGUUCGGAAUCACUGGGCGUAAAGGGAGCGUAGGCGGGUUUCUAAGUCAGGUGUUUAAUCCCGGGGCCCAACCCCGGACAGGCACUUGAAACUGGGAAUCUUGAAUAGUGGAGAGGUCAGUGGAAUUGGGGGUGUAGCGGUGGAAUGCGUAGAGAUCCCCAAGAACACCAGUUGCGAAGGCGGCUGACUGGACACAUAUUGACGCUGAGACGCGAAAGCGUGGGGAGCAAACAGG
Molecule: ribosomal RNA, 253 nt
Filed under: uncultured bacterium
Lineage: Bacteria
Description: partial 16S ribosomal RNA
Rfam family: Bacterial small subunit ribosomal RNA
Source: RNAcentral